This 69-nucleotide transfer RNA is filed under the name Ictidomys tridecemlineatus (thirteen-lined ground squirrel). Its description in RNAcentral is "Spermophilus tridecemlineatus (thirteen-lined ground squirrel) tRNA". It matches the Rfam family "tRNA". From Rfam's summary of the family: Transfer RNA (tRNA) molecules are approximately 80 nucleotides in length. The record is from Rfam by way of RNAcentral. RNAcentral also lists the same sequence under 1 other name. Lineage: Eukaryota; Metazoa; Chordata; Mammalia; Rodentia; Sciuridae.
GGGGUUGAGGCUCAGUGGUAGAGUGCUUGCCUAGCACACAUGAGGCACUGGGUUCAAUCCCCAGCACCA